This 377-nucleotide ribosomal RNA is filed under the name uncultured bacterium. RNAcentral describes it as "bacterial SSU rRNA". It matches the Rfam family "Bacterial small subunit ribosomal RNA", at positions 144 to 507 of the family's 1533-position model. The record is from RNAcentral.
UAGUUUAGGAAACAGAUGACUAAUAACCGAAAUUAAACUUAGUAUCGCAUGAUACCGAGGUUAAAGGCGCUACGGCGUCACCUAGAGAUGGAUCCGCGGUGCAUUAGUUAGUUGGUGGGGUAAAGGCUUACCAAGACAAUGAUGCAUAGCCGAGUUGAGAGACUGAUCGGCCACAUUGGGACUGAGACACGGCCCAAACUCCUACGGGAGGCUGCAGUAGGGAAUCUUCCACAAUGGGCGAAAGCCUGAUGGAGCAACGCCGCGUGUGUGAUGAAGGCUUUCGGGUCGUAAAGCACUGUUGUAUGGGAAGAACAGCUAGAGUAGGGAAUGACUUUAGUUUGACGGUACCAUACCAGAAAGGGACGGCUAAAUACGUG